AACACACUUGUAGGGGCUACUUUGAUGGAGUGGAGUACAGGCUGGCUUAGACUCUUGUGCAAAAAGAGGUCUCACUCAGCUGAGGAAGGCUCUGUGGGAUCAGACCGUGUUGGUGCUGUAGGAGGUGCUAGUAUCAAAUGAGUGUAUGUCAUUGCUGUACCUGGAGGGAUGUAUGGCGCAAGCACACUGGCUUGGAUCAUGUCCCAGGUAGAGUGUUGGGGCUGCCAGGCACUGCAGCCAGGAACACUUAGUGCUCACCUGGAAUAUGUUGCAAGAUAUAUUUAGAAGACUUCUUUUAUUACUGUUUUUAAUUACACCCAGCUUUUCUGAUACUCCUGGUGGUGGUCGGCCACAUGGCUUUGCAAAAAACAAAAGCCACCAUCCAGCAGUGUGUGAGCCCUGUGUCUGCCUGUGAGCCAGGUCCCAUCUGGCUGUAAUUACUAGCUUCACAUCAGUAGAAGAUGUGUAAUAUUUAAACACAAAUGUUUAAUGUUUGCACAGCAAACCUCAGGAUGGAAAGCCCUUGAUAAUCAGCCUUGCAGGAGAGGAGGUGGGUCUGCUGCAGGUGAGCACUGAGGUUUAUGGCUUGUAGCAAGAUUUGUGGCUUUUCCUGGGGAUAGAAGGAAAAGCAGCACAGCCCAGAAUGCCUUCAUGGCUCAUUCCAGGCAGAAGCUCCACACAGCCUUGUAAUCCUCAUUUCUUACUUGUAUAGAGAGGAGCUGCAGUCAGAGGUGCUCUAACCGGCCUACAAGCCAUGCAGAGUGGUACUUGCAGGAUGAUAGAGAAGUCACUGAAAUCAGCACAGGCUCCUUGCCCAGAGCAGUAGCCGCCAGGAUAGGAAACAACGUCUGGUGGAUCUCAGCAGCUCACUGUCCAGCUAACCCCAGAGGAGUGGAAGCUCUGGCACAUUCCUUGAGUACCCAAGCACCCAGAAACACAGACAAUGUACUGCAUUAGCCCCUAAAAAGUAAGUCUGAGAGCACAGCAAGCACUAGCUGUGACAGGGUGGAUCUUAUCUCUGCAGAGAAGGUGGCUGGUGGUGAGCCCCGGCCAUUCCAAGGGGCCCUCCCCUGCCUGCAGGGGACCCAGUCUGAUAUUUUGCUUAUGAAACUUUGCCCCCUCAGAAUUCUCUUUUGAUCCUUUGGGGAAGGAAAUAACUAUCUAGUACUUCACACUGCUCCACAUAGGAUGACAAGGAAGAGAACAGCUUUACCCGCUCCCAGGCACCUCUGGAAGGUGACAGACAUGUGCUGUCUGCAGCAUCCUCAUUUCAGCAUUAAGGUCCAAGGACAAUCUGGCACACCCAAGCCAAAUGACAGUCCUGUUGCUGCUGGUCCAGGUGCCACCUCCUGUAAGCAGGAGGCUAGAGCAGACGUAGGAUAACAAAAGCCUCCUCACUGUCCCAGGGGGUUUGGGAGCUGCUUCUCUGCUGCUUGUGCACCCAAGGUGGGCCAGCCCUGCCGUCGUCAUUGCCUCUGAGAUUGCUCAUCUCGGCAAACUUUAAAGCUGCAUCCUGACAGACCAGAAUAAAUCAAUCAAUAAAUAAAUCGUCCGUCUCGUCUGCUGGAUUCUGCAGUUUAUUUCCUCAGCACUGAUGAAAAAUAGUUGGAUGCUUAGUAGCUUCAUGAGACUAAUUAUGAUAAACGGCCCCAUCGCUGCUAAUAUCCGGCCAUUAAUUCCCAGAUGGAGCUGCAGAAAAUGUCAGGAAUGGAAAUGUCAGCUUUCUAAAAGGACCUGGCAGGUAUUGAAGUGGGGACUGGAGUGUCAGCAGAGGAGGGAGUAGGGGGAGAGCCGGGAAUUAGCAGGAUGACGAUACACAUUUGAAUCUAUAAUUCUUCUGACUUGAUUGUCCAGUUUCUCUCGGUUGUCUACGCUACAACCAUGGCUUCCUUUGGAUUUUGCUUCCUCGGAGCUCUGCUCCCAGCAAAGAGACAAAAGAUUUGGUAAUCAUUAAAUGGGAGACAUUUCUGUUGGGGAGAGGAAGCUCAGUCUUAAGCUUCAGGAAUCUCCUUCCUGCUGAGAUCCCCAGGAAUGUUGCCUUGUUUUGGGAGACAAAGACACCAGUAAUUCCCUUUACAUUGAGUGUGAGGUGAGCAGUCUGACUUGCAACACAAGGUCACACCCAAACUCAGCUCUUAUUUUCUAGGCUGCACAUUUGUAUUCACCUUCAUGUUUACACUGCUGCAAUAAUCAGCUGCAUACAAAAAUCAGACGGAAAACAGCAAAAAACCACUUGGGUUUUUUUUGCUUUCAACAGAUAGUUUUUAAUGGUUUCUCUGUGUUUGAGAGGGCUCUUUAUGGGGAAUACUCACUGCUAAGUGAGAAGGUACUUCAAGAGUAGAUGAACCAGCCAGACAAAUGAUAUAAAUGCCCAGAUAUUGAUGGUGCUGUGUUACUGAUGGCAGGAAGUCAGAGCGGCACCUGGUGCAAUACAUCAGCUCAUGAACAAAUGUCAAGAAGGCAUGUUUUGAAGCUGUUCUAAAUCCAAAAAUGUUGAGUUGUCCUCUUAUCCAGAAAGAUGUUGCUCUGUCAUAUCCGCAUGCUUGACCCUCUGCUUCUGGUGGUGCAUGCUUUUCCUAAGGCCUGGCACAAAGAUAUGCUUUGAUUUUGUUACUCUGUUCGGCCAACCAGCUCAGACACUGCUCUGCACAGCUUCUGAAAUGGUGGGGUUCAGGUGAGGGUCUAGCCCAGCUUUUGGCAUAUGCUUUCUAGUGGGGAAAAAAUCGGGACAGGUUAGGGAUUCCUUGA
Molecule: long non-coding RNA, 2748 nt
Organism: Pezoporus occidentalis (night parrot)
Lineage: Eukaryota; Metazoa; Chordata; Aves; Psittaciformes; Psittacidae
Exons: 2
Source: RefSeq, a predicted model, not a curated record